This 468-nucleotide ribosomal RNA is filed under the name uncultured bacterium. Its description in RNAcentral is "partial 16S ribosomal RNA". It matches the Rfam family "Bacterial small subunit ribosomal RNA", at positions 28 to 507 of the family's 1533-position model. The record is from RNAcentral.
GACGAACGCUGGCGGCGUGCUUAACACAUGCAAGUCGAACGGAAAGGCCCUGCUUUUGUGGGGUGCUCGAGUGGCGAACGGGUGAGUAACACGUGAGUAACCUGCCCUUGACUUUGGGAUAACUUCAGGAAACUGGGGCUAAUACCGGAUAGGAGCUCCUGCUGCAUGGUGGGGGUUGGAAAGUUUCGGCGGUUGGGGAUGGACUCGCGGGUUAUCAGCUUGUUGGUGGGGUAGUGGCUUACCAAGGCUUUGACGGGUAGCCGGCCUGAGAGGGUGACCGGCCACAUUGGGACUGCGAUACGGCCCAGACUCCUACGGGAGGCAGCAGUGGGGAAUAUUGCACAAUGGGCGGAAGCCUGAUGCAGCAACGCCGCGUGCGGGAUGACGGCCUUCGGGUUGUAAACCGCUUUCGCCUGUGACGAAGCGUGAGUGACGGUAAUGGGUAAAGAAGCACCGGCUAACUACGUG